UUUAUUAGCAGCGUUGUGAUUGGAUAGUUUUGUGCGACGUACAUGUAAUUUAUUUACCGCUAUUUGGUAUCGCGUCGGUUAGCGUCCUUUAUCGUACAAAGUUGCUGAUCUGCAAAGAAAGGAGAAACACAGGAUUUAUUUUCAUUAUGGCAGCUAAACGAAAGACCAAGACAGAGAAGCCCUCAGCUGAUAGUGCUGAUGCUGCUGCUGCCCCUGCCCCUUCAGCAAGCAAACCCAAAGCCAAAAAGGCUCCCAAAAGGAAAGGUGUUAAAAAAGGAGGAGUUAAAAAAGCCAAGAAAGGAGGUGCUAAAAAAAAGAAAUAGACUUAAUAGGUUUUAACUCGGGGAGCAAUACGCAACUCAGGCCGUAUGGAAUCUCUACCAUAUAUAGUGUUAAUUAUAGAGACAAUUUAAAUAUUUACUCAUCAAUGUGGUUUUUUUUAAAAAUCUGAUCUAUAUUUUAAGUCACCACGAACAUCAUUUGUAUUUUAUUUAUUGAACAUCUUUUAAAUGAUUUAAAUACAUCAUGUUUACUUAUUUAUUUUAAUAUUAAACUAUCAUAUUACUGAUGUUCAUUGCACCCUCUUUUCUUCUAGAAUAUAGAUUAUAUGUUUUAUAUUUAUCGUGUAGAAAAAAAAAUCACAAUCAUUUUUUUUGUACUAAAAAAUAAAACAGCUCUAAAAAAAUAA
Molecule: long non-coding RNA, 688 nt
Organism: Patella vulgata (common limpet)
Lineage: Eukaryota; Metazoa; Mollusca; Gastropoda; Patellidae
Exons: 4
Source: RefSeq, a predicted model, not a curated record